GAUACCCUGGAAGAAGUGCCUUCCAGAAAUUAAAAAGCCCAGAGCCACAAUUGGAGCCGGAUCCCCCGGAGAGCUUCAGAAUGUAAAGGAAGAGGAGGAGACACCAGAGCUCUCUCUCUCUGUCUGUACAGAGAAACGGUCAUGUGAGGACACAGUGAGAAGGUGGCCAUCUACAAGGCUUAAUGGCAUUUCCUUCUGGUGAGUGAAGAAUUUAAAAUCCAGAAAUGAGUUGGUGAAGGAAUUA
Molecule: long non-coding RNA, 244 nt
Organism: Physeter macrocephalus (sperm whale)
Lineage: Eukaryota; Metazoa; Chordata; Mammalia; Artiodactyla; Physeteridae
Exons: 3
Source: RefSeq, a predicted model, not a curated record